GUAAUCAUUUCAUUGAAACUUCAAUGUACUUUUUUUCCUAAUGAAUCCUAUGCAUUCCAGGAGAGUAUAACUUAUCGUCAACAAGUGGAACAAGAGUUUAUAUUGAUUUGGACAUUCCUGAGACUGCUGAAUUCAAAGAUCAGCUGGUGGAAAAUAACCAACCAAUAGUACAAAUGCCCAAGCAAUUCAAACCACAAGUAUCAAUUGAAGAAGAGAUGAACAUCAACAGAAGAACUAUAACUUAAAUAAAAGAAGUUAUGUGGGACUCUGAUAAUAAGGAAACGAUCUUUACCUGUGAAGGAAAGAUUAUAAACAUUGACAUAGAUCGUCAUGGUUGGUACUUUAUCUCUUGCGAAGUAUGUCGUAGAAAGGUAAACUCAAAAGAUGAAUUUUUAUGGUGCGACAAUUGCAACAAAAAGGCAUGCUUCCCAAUCCCAAGGUAUAGAAUUCAAUUAAAGGUUAAAGAUAGCUCAGAAAUGGCCACAUUCAUUUUAUUUGAUUCAGAAGCAGAAAAAUUACUCAACAUAUCAGCCAAAGACCUUUUGAAUAAAUCUUUAGAGG
Quercus robur (English oak) is the source of this 561-nucleotide long non-coding RNA. RefSeq lists it as uncharacterized. The record is from RefSeq and is a predicted model, not a curated record. NCBI's taxonomy places the organism in Eukaryota, Viridiplantae, Streptophyta, Magnoliopsida, Fagales, Fagaceae. The transcript is spliced from 4 exons.